Molecule: non-coding RNA, 99 nt
Organism: Papio anubis (olive baboon)
Lineage: Eukaryota; Metazoa; Chordata; Mammalia; Primates; Cercopithecidae
Source: Rfam
AUUGGGUCUCACUAUGUUGCCCAGGCUGGUCUUGAACUUCUGGCAGAGUUGAAGCCAGGAGUUCGAGACCAGCCUGGGCAACAUAGUGAGAAGCCUGCC